GGGGGGGCCUUGCUCGGUAACCGUGGCAACGCCAACAGCGGCGGGAGGCCAGCCCAGCCGGCAAAGAGGCGCCUGCACCCCGGAUCCCAGCGCCGCCACGGCCCCUGGAGCGCAGACGCUGCCUCACGUCCUCUCAAGUCCGUGUCUUUAAAAACACAGUCUCCGCCUCCCUCCUGGAAAUGGAGAGCGGCUCGCACCUGUCACAAAUAGCAGGCGGGCGGCGAAAACCCGCGGGAUGGAAACAAAACGUGGCUCUGACAAGUUCUGCAGAAGAGAUACCUGUUGAACAAUUUCCCAGAUGAGCGUGAGCAUAAACUCUUUAUCCACAGCAGUUUCCUGGACACAAUUUUGGAGGCCUCUCAUCAUACCGCUGCCCUCUCUUGGUCUGCUCUUGUAUCCAGACUGCAACAUGAGACAGAGAAAGGCCAAGAAAACUAACAAUGAAAUAAAAAUUAACAGUCACAAUUAUUAUUCCUACAAAAGCACAUUUAUUGGCUUAUGUAUCUGGAAAGUCCAAACUGCCUGCUUUCAGGCAUGGCUGGAUCCAGGAGCUGGAAUGAUGCUAUCGAUGCUCCUUUAAACACACGUGCCUUUACUGUUGACAUAUAAAUUUGCAAAAAUGUAUGUAUGUUUUGACACGUGUGUAUUUGCGUGAAACCAUCACCCAAAUCGAGUACAGCAUCCCCCCAAACUCUCCUGAUGCCCCCCUUUAUAAUACCUUUCCAGCACAUGAAGAAACCAUUGCAGGACAUGUACUUGGAGAGCAUGAAACCGGGUGGCUUGGUCAGGGCUCUGUUUCUUUGUGAGCAAAUGGGCUUAAACACGUCUAAGCAAAACCAGCACGUGAACGGGUUCCAGCGACGGCAAAGUCCCCGGUUCCCAAUUUCAGGCAAAGCCUGGAUCCGCGAGUUGAGAUGGUGUUGUCAUUGGAAGCCGGUCACUUCUGUGUCUCAGCUUGACUUUCCUCUGAGUGGGCUUCACUCACAGGUCAGGCAUCCCAUUCACGGAAUAAACAGAGACCCCAGGCUCCAAGCUUUUUUCUCU
Acinonyx jubatus (cheetah) is the source of this 1044-nucleotide long non-coding RNA. RefSeq lists it as uncharacterized. The record is from RefSeq and is a predicted model, not a curated record. Lineage: Eukaryota; Metazoa; Chordata; Mammalia; Carnivora; Felidae. The transcript has 3 exons.